AGCCUUAGAAAUGAAGAAGAAUGAGGCAACAGAGAGAUUGGGAUUUUCUGUAAAAGGGUGGUUGCCCCUCUCUGUUAUGUCUAUGAUUUCUCCAUUGAAAAUCAACAGCCCUUUCAAUUAAACCAAAAAAACAAAAACAAAAAAAAUCAUCCAAACACACCCCUAAUAUAUAUUCCUCUUCCUCUUCCUCCUCUGCUUUGUGCUGCUGCUACUGAAUACUGAUGUAUAUAAAUGGGCUGUGAUGAUUGCUUUUUUCCUUUUUGGGCUAUGUUCAAUUCACGGCAUUGAGAAAAUAUCCGACCCGUAUCUUGGCGGGGCGACCCGGUCCGGCUUUUGUAUAGCUAACUGGUGUUUGCAGCCAUGGCGGCGUCGCCUUCUCUUUUGCUUUGACAAAAAAUACAGCAAAACUGAGCCCUCACGAAAAGUUCCGUCUAAUAGCCUGUUUGGCCGUGCUUCUAAAAUCAGCUUAUUUUGUAGUAGCUUGUUUGGUCGUGCUUCUAAAAUCAACUUUUUAGAUUUAAGAAACUAACCAUUAUUUUUUGAGAAGGGAAAAGGUUAGCCCAGAAGAAUUGAAGAAAUGAGGCAAAAGCAGAGAGUUUGGGAUUUUUUUUUGAAAGGGUGGUUGCCCCUCUCUUUUUCACCAUUGAUUUUCCUUCAGUAUUUUUAAAAUAAAAUAAAAAACCAACAACCCUUGUUUAUGUCUUUAUGACAAAAGCAGAAGCAGCAGAAAUGAUUUAAGUUAUAUGUUUGGAAACAGCCUCUCUUACCCUAAAGUACAAAAAAUAGAAAACCUUCUGCCACAACUAUUAGAUUGCAAACCCAGUAACUCAAAAUGAUUUGUAGAAAUUCAAACUCGAUAAAGUUCAAAGCCUGAAUUUGCCUCUGGAUGGAUAUGCAUUUAUCUGUCUGUACACUAACACCCUGUUUGGAUGGUUGUUCUCAUUGUAUUGUAUUGUUUCCUUGAAAAGCUACACAACAAAAAAUAUGGAGAAGAAAUUAUAAUCAGGUGAUAGAAAAGACCUCAAUGGUCCCUGUUGAUAGGCCGUAUCUUGGCAGGGCAGCCCGAUAACGGGAUUUGCAGCCAUGGCGGUGCCUGAGAUGGAGUACAGAUCUGAGCCUCAAAAUCUUUGUUAUUAUCAUCUCUACUUUACCAGAAGGAAGAAUGAGGCCAACAGGGGUAAGAGGGAGUUCUAGGAGGGUGGUUGCCCGCUCUGCUUGGCCUAUGAUUUCUCCAUUAAUAAAACCAACAGCCCUCAUUCCUCAAAGAAAACCAAGAAAAUAAACAUCUGGCGCCUUUGCGUUAGGCAUUACUGGAUUCUUAGUUUGAGCGCUUAGUCCAAAACUUCCACACUUACAUGAAAUGAAUGAAAGAGUCAACAUUCUGAAAGAGGCAGUUAUUGUACUUGUUUAUUUGUGCUAUAAACCAUAGGGCAUAGAGACAAUUUGACCCGUAUCUUGGCUUGGUAUGGGCUGUGAUUUGAGGCUCCUCUUUCACAUGCAAUCGAUUGUUUGCAGCCAUGGCGUGGCUGGCUUCUCUUUUGUCUGACCAAAACACACAUCUGAGCCGUAUUUGCUUGAAAGAAAUUAAACAGAAUCUUUUCCAUGAUCUAAUGUAUCACCAUCUUUUUUCAGUAUCAGUUGAGCAUAGCCUAGAAAUAUAGAAGAAUGAGGCAUCUCUCGGGAUUUUCUGUAAAGGGAGGUUGCCCCUCUCUGCUAUGCCCAUGAUUUUUCCAUUUAUAACCAAAAAAACAACAGCCCUUUCAAAUAAACAAGAAAAAAGAAAAAAAUGAAAUCCUUAAUCCAAACACACACUAUUAUGUUGCUCUUCCUCUUCUUUUUGUGCUGCUGCUACUGAUGUUGUAAAGGGGCUAUGAAGAUUGUUUUCCUUUCUGGGCUAUGUUCAGUCAUGGCAUUGAGAAGAUACCUGACCCGUAUCUUGGCAAGGCGACCCAGUAUGUCUGUUGUAUAGCAAACUGGUGUCUGCAGCCAUGGCGACGUCGCCUUCUCUCUUGCUUUGAUCAAAACAGUAAAUCUGAGCCCUCAAUGGCCAAACAGAGAGAAAGUCAGCUCAUAGAAUGAGACAUCAGUGAGAAAUAUGAUUUAUUUAUUUAUGCAUUUGUUCAGUUUUGCUGGUAAGCCCAUGAUUUCUUGCUGGAAGCAAUUAACAGUGCUUAGUUCUUUCUGUAAAUCUAGCUUCGAGAGAUGCAUGUUGUUGUUGAUCUGCUGAUGCUGUUGCUGCUAGCGUUCUUUUGUUCUCGCUGCUAUGUGGCUGCAUUAACACCCAAACAGCGAGGAUCAUACUAAAGAUAAAGGUAAAAGUGAACAUUUUGAGGCAGUGAUGAUAUGACUCUUGCAAAUGGCGUUAUUGAUUUGCAUUGAGAUGGCCUUAAACUCGUAUCUUGGCAGGGCAAUCUGGAGGAGAUUGCAGCCAUGGCGGUUUUGAGAAACUCAAUGCCUGAUCCUAGUGAGAUAUGAGCCUCAUAUUAAAAUAGCAAAAAUCUCAUUAGUUUAAGUCUGAGGCUGUUGUGAAAGCAGAAGGCUGUGGGGAGUUUCAAUUAGUGGUUUUGCCCCUUUCUGUCAUUCUCUAAUGCCGAUGAUCACUCAAAUGAAAAUAUUUUCCGAUUCCAAAACCAGCCUUUUGGUGAAAACACAUAUAACCUCUCUAUUUUCCUUUCUUGUCACUCCUGUUUCAUUUUAUGUGAUGCAACGAGGCUAUGAAGAUUUUGUUCUUCUGUGAAAGAUGAAUCAAGACAUAUUUCUAUUGAGCUGGGAAAAAACUGUAACUUGGCAUGGCAGCUCAGACGGGUCUGUGAGAUAUUGGAAAAUGUUCCAUUUCUUUGGUGCUUCUUCCGUGUCUCUUAAGGCUAACUGAUGCUUGCAGCCAUGGUGGUUUUACCAAAGCAUUUUUGGUUUUUGUCUGAGGAAAGGCGAAUCUGAGCCUACCCCGUUACUUUGAAUUUGGUUUUUGGUUUUCGCUCUUCUCCUUGGUUUUACCCCGUUAAUCUGAGCUUACCCCUAAAGCUUUCACUAAUGACUCACUCCUAAUUCCUAAAGAAAGAAAGCGAAAUAUGUACAAGAGUUUUUGGUUUUUGCUCUUCUCCUUGGUUUUGCCUCAUUAAUCUGAGGUUACCCGAAAGCUUUCACUAAUGACUCACUUCUAAUUCCUAAAGAAAGAAAGAGAAUAUAUACAAGAAAUAAUUUAUAUUUACAGCUUUCAGGAUAGUAGAAAAAGAACUGUUAUGGAGAUGUAACAAAACAAAAGCUCAGGAGAACGAGAAUGAGGCUUCAGAGAGUUUAGGAUUUUCUGUUGAAAGGGUGGUUGCCUCUCUCCGUAUUAGCCCAUGAUUUCUCCCUUACUGUAACAAUCCCAACAACCCUGUAAAAAUUUCAUGGAAUGGCCAGUUUUCGCCUUGCUAUUUAAGGUAUAUCCAUUUUUUUCAAAGUAUUUAACUUGUAGCCAGUGUUGGUGAGUAUGAUUGACUGCUUGAAAGAGGCGCUGAUGAUUUUUUUUCAAUCUUCUAUUUCCUUCUGAGCCUAUCAAUUGGGCAUUUGAGAUGACUUGACUCGUAUCUUGGCAGGGCAUGCCCCCAAAUUUCUGGUGGUUUUUUGCAGCCAUGGCGCCGUCAGAUCUCCUUUUGCUUGACUUAGAACACAGAUCUGAGCCUCAAAACCGUAAUCAGGUCUACCUGGUUGGACCGAAGCAGGGGUGAUUUGCACAAAUAGGAUGCUUUGAGGUCAUUAUUUAUAUUUUGUUGCGUAAGCUUUUUUGCAAUCUCAUUAGUUUAAGUCUGAGGCUGCGGUGAAAUCAGAGAGCUGUGGGGAGUUUCAAUGGGUGGUUUUGCCCCUCUCUGUCAUUCUGCGCUGCCAAUGAUCACUCCAAUGAAAAACUUUUCCAACUACAAAACCACCCUUUUGGUGAAAAUACUUAUGACCUUGCUAGUUUCCUUUUCUUGUUACUCCCUCGGUUUCAUUUUAUGUGCAAUGAGGCUAUGCAGAUUUUGUUUUUCUGUGGAAUAUGAAUCAGAUAUCUUUCUAUUACAACAACAGCAAUAUACCCGGUGAAAUCCCACAAGUGGAGACUGGGGAGGGUAGUGUGUGCGCAGACCUUAACCCUACCCUUGUGAAGAUAGAGAGGCUGUUUCCGAUAGAGUUGUAGAAAUUAGGAUUUGAGAUUAUCCGGACCGUAUCUUGGCAGGGCAUGCCCCCAUAUUUCUGUUGGUUUAUGCAGCCAUGGCGUCUUUGGAUCUCUUUUUGCAUCUGUCGAGUUGAAGUGUCUCAAUGACAAUUCAUGACUAGUUUGAGGGCUAUCUAUGUAUUCUGCCUAUCUGAAAUAACAAUACGUAUACAAUACAAUGGUAACAACCAUCCAAACAAGCUGUUAUUAGUCUAUUUGGUUUAGAGACAAAGAAUGAGGGUUGCAGAGAGUAGAGGGAAGCUCAAAGGCAGCUGCUCCUCUCUACAAUACUUGUGAUUUCAUAUUUGCCAAAAAAGGCCCUACUGCAGUAAACUGUAUCCAAACGACCGCUCUACUCUAUCUCCAAAUCCUCACUCCCAAAAAGCGAAUCAAUAAUAAUAAUAUUAAUUGUAGCAAAAAUAUGAGGCUGUGAUGAUAUUUUUUUCUUCUGUCUCUGAGCAAAUCAAUUAGGGAAGAGAACAAUUGGACCCGUAUUUUGGCGGGGCGACCGGGACGGUGACGACUUGCAACCGGUAUUUGCAGCCAUGGCGGUGUCUCCAAUCUCUUGCCCUAGCUUUAACAUUACAGAUCUGAGCCUCAAUUGGAAGGUUAUUUUCUUAAGUUCAAAAUUACAGGCUCUUUUCCGUUGAAUUUUGAAAUUCGCAGGUGAAAAACUCACGAGAAUUUCCCCUAAAAACGCAAAAAUGCUAGCCCAGAAAGAAAUGAGGCAAAACAGAGAGAGUAUUGGGAUUUUCAUUAGAAGGGUGGUUGCCCCUCUCUGUUCCGCCAUUGAUUUUCCUCCAUUUUCAGAAAAAAAACCGACAGCCCUUGUUUAUGACAAAAGCAGAAGCAGACAAUGUUUGGACAUAAGAACUUUAAAAUUCCUGAAAAAAGUAAAAAAAAAUUCAGUGGAAUCUGUAUUUACUUUUUGUGUGUGUGUGUUUAUGUUGCUGAUGGGAGUUACAUAAAGAGGCAGUGAUGAUGAUGUUUCUUGUAUCCGGGCUAACCGAUUUGGGCAUAGAGAUGACCGGACCCGUAUCUUGGCGUGGCAACCCGGUAUGGCCUGUGAUUGAGUUUUCUGUCUCUCACUUGCAACUGGUGUUUUGCAGCCAUGGCAUAGCUGGCUUCUCUUUGCCUUAUCAUGACAUAUCUGAGCCCCAUUUGCAAGAAAAUAAAAAAAGAUAAAUCUUUUCUAUGAUUUGGAUUAACAGGAAAAUAGGAAGGGGAGUCUUGGAUUAACGGUAAGUUCUCGUGUGACCUAUCCGUCACGAGUUCGAGUUGUGAAAGCGUUCACAGCUAUUGAUGCUUGCAUUAGGGUAUCUGUCUACAUCACACUCCUUGAGUGGGGCGACUCCCCGGGCCCUCGCGAAUGUGGGUUGUCUUGUGCACUGGGCUGCCCUUGGAUUAACAGGAAAAUAACAAAAAACUUAUUUGUUGGUUUGAGGCUGCGGUCAAGGCAGAGAGAUGUAGGAAGUUUCAUUGGGUGGUUUUGCCCCUCUGUAAUUGUCUGCUGCUGAUGAUUGCUCAAAUGCUCGUUUUUAAAACCACCCUUUUGGUGAAAAUAAGUAUUACUCCCUCCCUUUCAAUUUAUGUGACGCAAUGAGGCUAUGAAGGAAGGGGAUCCUUGGCUUAGCUGGUAAAGUUGUUGGCAUGUGACUAGGAGGUCACGGGUUCAAGCCGUGGAAAAAAUGCAGGGUAAGACUGCGUACAAUAGACCCUUGUGAUCUGGCCCUUCCCCGGACCCCGCGCAUAGUGGGAGCUUAGUGCACCGGCCUGCCCUGAAUGAGUCUAUGAAGAUCUUAUUCUUUUGUGGAAGAUGAAUCAGACUCAUAAAUCUAUUGAGCUGGGAAAAAUUUGUAAUCUUGGCGUGGCAGCUCAGAUGGGUCUUUGAGAUAUUGGAGAAAAAUCCGUUUUUGUGUGUUUUCCCUGUUUCAUAAGACUAACUGAUGCUUGCAGCUAUGACGGUCGUUUUCCAAAGCUUUUUGGGUUUUGUCUGAGUAAAGGAGAAGAAUGAGGCAACAGAGAGAUUGGGAUUUUCUGUAAAAGGGUGGUUGCCCCUCUCUGUUAUGCCUGCGAUUUCUCCAUUGUAAUCAACAGUCCUUUGAAUUAAACCCAAAAGAAAAAAACUUCAUCAUCCAAUCAGACCCUUAAUACAUUGCUCUUACUCUUCCUCCUCUCUGUGUUGCUGCUACUGAAUACUGAUGUAUAUAUAGGGGCUGUGAUUUUUGCUUUUCGUUUCUGGGCUACGUUCGAUUCAUGGCAUUGAGAAAAUAUCCGACCCGUACCUUGGCAGGGUGACCCUGUACGGCUUUUGUAUAGCAAACUGGUGUCUGCAGCUAUGGUGGCGUCGCCUUCUCAUUUGCUUGCACAAAGAAUACAGCAGAUCUGAGCCCUCACGAAAAGCCCCCCAUGUAAUAGCCUGUUUGGCCGUGCUUCCAAAAACAGCUUAUCAGCUUUAAAAAACUAACCCUUAAUUUUUGAGACCUCACAAGUAUGCAAUUAUGAGAAGGGAAAAGGUUAGCCCAGAAGAAUUAAAGAAAUGAGGCAAAAACAGAAAGUUUGGGGUUUUCUUUGAAAGGGUGGUUGCCCCUCUCUGUUUCACCAUUGAUUUUCCUCCAUUAUUAAAAAAAAAAGGAACCAACAGCCCUUGUUUAUGUCUUUAUGACAAAAGCAGAAGCAGCAGAAAUGAUUUAAGUUAUAUAUACUGACAUCUCUGUUUGGAAACAGCCUCUUUACCCGUAUAAGGUAGGGUUAAGGCUGCGUACUCACUGUCCUCCCCAGACCCACUUGUGAGAUUAUACUGGUUUUUUGUUGUUGUUGUUGCAUACUGACAUCUCUGUCUUUCCUCUGUGUUCAUUUACACUAUUGAUGGUAGGUACAUAAAGUGGCAGUGAUGAUGUCUCGGCUAACCGAUUUGGGCAUUGAGUUGAGCCGACCCGUAUCUUGGCGUGGCAACCCGGGAUGGCCUCUGUGGAGAGUUUUGAAUCUUCUCUAACACAUGCAACUGGUGUUUUGCAGCCAUGGCAUUGUUGGUUUCUCUUUUGCCUUAUCAUAACACACAUCUGAGCCUCAUUUGCUUGAAAAUACCAAAACAGAAUCUUUUCCAUGAUUCAUUGUCGGGAUAUAUCGAACCUGCGACCUUCUGCCACGACUAAAAAUUAGAAUUUGGGAUUAUCCGGACCGUAUCUUGGCAGGGCAUGCCCCCAGAUUUGUGGUGGUUUAUGCAGCCAUGGUGUCAUCGGAUCUCUUUUUGCAUCUGUCUAGUUGAAGUGUCUCAACGACAAUUCAUGACAAGUUUAAGGGGCUAUCUAUGUAUUCUGCCUAUCUGGAAUAACAAUACAAUACAAUGGUAACAACCAUCCAAACAAGCUGUUAUUAGUCUAUUUGGUUUAGAGACAAGUUAUGCCACUCGCGGUUUCCCUUGGUAUUUGCAGCCAUGGCGGCGGCGGACUCUUUUUGCUUGAGCUAUAUAACACAGAUCCGAGCCUCAAAAAGGAAACACGAAAAUGGUGAUACAAGUCUGAGGCUGUGGUGAAAGCAGAGGGCUGUGGGGAGUUUCUAUGGGUGGUUUUGCCCGUAUUUUUCUGCUCAGAUGAUCUCUCAAAUGAAAAUUUUUCUAAUUGCAAAACCACCCUUUUGGUGAAAUUUCAGUUGAUCUCCCUCUUUUCCUUUUCUAGUAACUCCCUCCGCUUCAUUUUAUGUGCAAUGAGGCUAUGAAGAUCUUGUUCUUCUGUGGAAGAUGAAUUCCAUAAUUUCGUCAUCAUUACCUGUACUUUGAAACCUUUUCGGUUUUUGUCUGAGAAAAGGCGAAUCUGAGCCUACUACAUUGCCUUGAUUUUUUUAAAAGAAUGAGGCUUUUAGACUCGAUAAAUGAAGGAGUUCUUAAGGGUGGUUGCUCUGUUUCUCUUUGAGUUGAUACAUAUCUUGGCUUGACGAAGUUCAGUCGAAUUUGUGAGUUGGUUUUAUUUUCUCUUACAGUAAGCCAUCUGCCUUUUGUAGCCGUGGCAGACUUGCCCAUUUUCUGAUGGUUUUUGGACAAAUCUGAGCCUCAUUUCUGUUAAACUUUGAAUUCCUUCUACAAUCUAUCUGCUCUUAUUAUGUUCUUUUUAAUUUAUAAUUUUUUGAAUUCUCUAACAUUCUCAUCAUGACCUCCUCCCAAGUUCAAAAAGAAGUGUCAUUAUUUUCUCUGUUUUUGAACUCUCCGUAAAGAAUCAGAAUGUUGCCUCUUUGAUACGGUUAAUUUGUUUCCCUCUGUCUAGAAAUUUAGGCCUGUGAAUACUGACGUCUAUGUUGGAGUUAACUUUGUUGCUGAGAUGUUUUAUUGGAUUUAUUCUUGUUGAAUUCCAUAAUUUCGUCAGCAUUACCUGUACUUUGAACAAUAUACUCACCUUUGAAAAUAAUGUAAUACUACUGAAUCAAUUUAUGCAGGAACUCUGCAGUUGCUGCUGUCAGAAUACAAGCCAAAAGCUAAAAUUUUCAUCUGUUGAUAACUUUUAGUAACUGUAUUGGGGAAAGGCAAGCAAGAACCCAGUGGAAUAGUCGAGGCGUGCACAAGGUGGUCCGAGUAAAACCAUUACAAAAAGGAAAUACAUGUCUUUUCUAAGCUGUUUGUUGCUGAUCCUUGGUUGUUAAGGAAGCAUUUACCUCCCAAAAUUUCCAAGUGGAUUUACACAUGCUACAUCAAGGAGCAGCCGAUAGAAAAUGUCCAGGUUCCAAAGGAAGCCUGUUGGAUGAUCCGAAAGAUUUUCGAGGCAAGGAUGAGUCUGGGACAAAGUGGCACAGUGGAUGUAAAUGCAUUGCAACAGAGCCUAAUCAUGGGAGCAGCACCUUCAAUGAGUGAUUGAAAAUGCUAAAGGUAAAUCUCAGUGGGCUCAAGCGUUCAGGAUGUUAUACUCAGAGCUCAUAUACAACAUAUGGAUUGAAGAAACUGGAGCAUCUUUGAAAAGAGAAGUAGAAGUUGGGAAAACAUUGCCAAAGAGAUCGUCUAUGUGAGCCUGUGUUAGAGCCAGAGGCGGACCUAUGUGUUAUAGUGAGGGGUCGCCGGACCCCGUAAGCUUCGGCAGAAAUCUUUUAUAUGUAUAUGUAUAUAUAUACCUUCAAAAUGGUUAAUUUAAAGCACUUGGCAUCUUGAACACUAAAAGCCUUUGGGGGUUUAGGGUUUAGGGUUUGGGGGCACUAGUUGAGUAGAAUAAUGUGCCCCGUCGCGGAUCCGCCUCUGGUUAGAGCUCCACCUAGACUAAGGAAUGUAAUUCAUAGUUAUACUUUCUAGUGAAGUCUGAUAGCUCAAAUAGUCAAUUACAGCUAGCUAGCUGUGUAUAGCUUACCUAUUGCCUUUGUACAGUUUCACUUGGACAUUAAUAUAAAAAGUUUAAUUACCAAAAAAAAAAAAGUUAC
Molecule: long non-coding RNA, 9568 nt
Organism: Nicotiana attenuata
Lineage: Eukaryota; Viridiplantae; Streptophyta; Magnoliopsida; Solanales; Solanaceae
Exons: 4
Source: RefSeq, a predicted model, not a curated record